RNAcentral lists this ribosomal RNA (383 nucleotides) under uncultured eukaryote. RNAcentral describes it as "partial 18S ribosomal RNA". It matches the Rfam family "Eukaryotic small subunit ribosomal RNA", at positions 592 to 976 of the family's 1831-position model. The record is from RNAcentral.
CAAUAGCGUAUAUUAAAGUUGUUGCAGUUAAAAAGCUCGUAGUUGGAUUUCUGGUGGGAGCGAUCGGUCUGGCGCUUAGCGCGAGUACUUGCAUCGUCUCCGGCCAUCCUUGGGGAGAGUCUGUCUGGCAUUAAGUUGUCGGGCAGAGGAUCCUCAUCGUUUACUGUGAAAAAAUUAGAGUGUUCAAAGCAGGCUUAUGCCGUUGAAUAUAUUAGCAUGGAAUAAUAAGAUAGGACUUUGGUACUAUUUUGUUGGUUUGCGCACCAAAGUAAUGAUUAAUAGGGACAGUUGGGGGUAUUCGUAUUCCGUUGUCAGAGGUGAAAUUCUUGGAUUUACGGAAGACGAAUUACUGCGAAAGCAUUUACCAAGGAUGUUUUCAUUAA